Molecule: ribosomal RNA, 253 nt
Filed under: uncultured bacterium
Lineage: Bacteria
Description: partial 16S ribosomal RNA
Rfam family: Bacterial small subunit ribosomal RNA
Source: RNAcentral
UACGUAGGGGGCAAGCGUUGUCCGGAAUCAUUGGGCGUAAAGAGCGUGUAGGCGGCCAGAUAAGUCCGCUGUGAAAUCUCGAGGCUCAACUUCGAGCUGUCGGUGGAAACUGUCUGGCUAGAGUCCGGAAGAGGAGAAUGGAAUUCCUGGUGUAGCGGUGAAAUGCGCAGAUAUCAGGAAGAACACCCGUGGCGAAAGCGGCGUGCUGGAUCCCUUCUGACGCUGAGGCGCGAAAGCCAGGGGAGCGAACGGG